GCGCGCGUAGCUCAGCUGGUAGAGCGCUAGACUUUUAAUCUGGAUGUCGCCGGUUCGAGCCCGGCCGCGCGUACCA
RNAcentral lists this transfer RNA (76 nucleotides) under Rhodospirillales bacterium. RNAcentral's name for it is "tRNA-Lys". It matches the Rfam family "tRNA". From Rfam's summary of the family: Transfer RNA (tRNA) molecules are approximately 80 nucleotides in length. The record is from RNAcentral. Lineage: Bacteria; Pseudomonadati; Pseudomonadota; Alphaproteobacteria; Rhodospirillales.